CCCUUAGAUGUCCUGGGCCGCACGCGCGUUACACUGAUGCAUUCAACGAGCUUAUAACCUUGGCCGAGAGGCCUGGGCAAUCUUGUUAACGUGCAUCGUGAUGGGGAUAGAUUAUUGAAAUUAUUAAUCUUGAACGAGGAAUUCCUAGUAAACGCAGAUCAUCAAUCUGCAUUGAUUACGUCCCUGCCCUUUGUACACACCGCCCGUCGCUCCUACCGAUUGGAUUGGCUGGUGAAGCGUUCGGAUUGUGGGUUCGGAGCGGUUCGCCGUUCUGGGCUUGCGAGAAGUUCGUUAAACCCUCCUAUCUAGAGGAAGGAGAAGUCGUAACA
This 329-nucleotide ribosomal RNA is filed under the name uncultured eukaryote. RNAcentral describes it as "partial 18S ribosomal RNA". It matches the Rfam family "Eukaryotic small subunit ribosomal RNA", at positions 1470 to 1796 of the family's 1831-position model. The record is from RNAcentral.